CCUACGGGAGGCAGCAGUAGGGAAUCUUCCACAAUGGGCGAAAGCCUGAUGGAGCAACGCCGCGUGGGUGAAGAAGGUCUUCGGAUCGUAAAACCCUGUUGUUAGAGAAGAAAGUGCGUGAGAGUAACUGUUCACGUUUCGACGGUAUCUAACCAGAAAGGCACGGCUAACUACGUCCCAGCAGCCGCGGUAAUACGUAGGUGGCAAGCGUUAUCCGGAUUUAUUGGGCGUAAAGGGAACGCGGGCGGUCUUUUAAGUCUGAUGUGAAAGCCUUCGGCUUAACCGGAGUAGUGCAUUGGAAACUGGGAGACUUGAGUGCAGAAGAGGAGAGUGGAACUCCAUGUGUAGCGGUGAAAUGCGUAGAUAUAUGGAAGAACACCAGUGGCGAAAGCGGCUCUCUGGUCUGUAACUGACGCUGAGGUUCGAAAGCGUGGGUAGCAAACAGGAUUAGAUACCCUUGUAGUC
Molecule: ribosomal RNA, 465 nt
Filed under: uncultured bacterium
Lineage: Bacteria
Description: partial 16S ribosomal RNA
Rfam family: Bacterial small subunit ribosomal RNA
Source: RNAcentral